RNAcentral lists this unclassified non-coding RNA (520 nucleotides) under uncultured Glomus. RNAcentral describes it as "SSU rRNA". It matches the Rfam family "Eukaryotic small subunit ribosomal RNA", at positions 569 to 1092 of the family's 1831-position model. Lineage: Eukaryota; Fungi; Glomeromycota; Glomeromycetes; Glomerales; Glomeraceae. The record is from RNAcentral.
AGCAGCCGCGGUAAUUCCAGCUCCAAUAGCGUAUAUUAAAGUUGUUGCAGUUAAAAAGCUCGUAGUUGAAUUUCGGGAUCAAUUAAUCGGUCGUGCCUCUGGUACGCACUGGUUUUAUUGGUUUCUCCCUUCUGACGAACCAGGAUGUCAUUAAUUUGGUGUCUUGGAGAAUCAGGACUGUUACUUUGAAAAAUUAGAGUGUUUAAAGCAGGCUAACGCUUGAAUACAUUAGCAUGGAAUAAUGAAAUAGGACGUUUGAUCCUAUUUUGUUGGUUUCUAGGAUCGACGUAAUGAUUAAUAGGGAUAGUUGGGGGCAUUAGUAUUCAAUUGUCAGAGGUGAAAUUCUUGAAUUUAUUGAAGACUAACUACUGCGAAAGCAUUUGCCAAGGAUGUUUUCAUUAAUCAAGAACGAAAGUUAGGGGAUCGAAGACGAUCAGAUACCGUCGUAGUCUUAACCAUAAACUAUGCCGACUAGGGAUCGGAUGAUGUUAAUUUUUAAUGACUCAUUCGGCGCCUUACG